Molecule: ribosomal RNA, 492 nt
Filed under: uncultured bacterium
Lineage: Bacteria
Description: partial 16S ribosomal RNA
Rfam family: Bacterial small subunit ribosomal RNA
Source: RNAcentral
AGUGAACGCUGGCGGUAGGCCUAACACAUGCAAGUCGAACGGCAGCACAGUAAGAGCUUGCUCUUACGGGUGGCGAGUGGCGGACGGGUGAGGAAUACAUCGGAAUCUUCUUUUUCGUGGGGGAUAACGUAGGGAAACUUACGCUAAUACCGCAUACGACCUACGGGUGAAAGCAGGGGAUCUUCGGACCUUGCGCGAUUGAAUGAGCCGAUGUCGGAUUAGCUAGUUGGCGGGGUAAAGGCCCACCAAGGCGACGAUCCGUAGCUGGUCUGAGAGGAUGAUCAGCCACACUGGAACUGAGACACGGUCCAGACUCCUACGGGAGGCAGCAGUGGGGAAUAUUGGACAAUGGGCGCAAGCCUGAUCCGGCCAUACCGCGUGGGUGAAGAAGGCCUUCGGGUUGUAAAGCCCUUUUGUUGGGAAAGAAAAGCAGCAGGUUAAUACCCCGCUGUUCUGACGGUACCCAAAGAAUAAGCACCGGCUAACUUCGUG